This 715-nucleotide ribosomal RNA is filed under the name uncultured Neisseriales bacterium. RNAcentral's name for it is "bacterial SSU rRNA". It matches the Rfam family "Bacterial small subunit ribosomal RNA", at positions 67 to 768 of the family's 1533-position model. The record is from RNAcentral. Lineage: Bacteria; Pseudomonadati; Pseudomonadota; Betaproteobacteria; Neisseriales.
CGGCAGCGAGGAGAAGCCUGCUUCUCUGUCGGCGAGUGGCGAACGGGUGAGUAUAGCAUCGGAACGUGCCAAGUAGUGGGGGAUAACCAAACGAAAGUUUGGCUAAUACCGCGUAAGCUCCAAGGAGGAAAGUAGGGGACCUAAUAAGGCCUUACGCUAUUUGAUCGGCCGAUGUCGGAUUAGCUAGUUGGUGGGGUAAUGGCUCACCAAGGCAAUGAUCCGUAGCGGGUCUGAGAGGACGAUCCGCCACACUGGGACUGAGACACGGCCCAGACUCCUACGGGAGGCAGCAGUGGGGAAUUUUGGACAAUGGGGGAAACCCUGAUCCAGCCAUGCCGCGUGUAUGAAGAAGGCCUUAGGGUUGUAAAGUACUUUUGUUAGGGAAGAAAAGCUAGUUUUUAAUAAAAAUUAGUGAUGACGGUACCUAAAGAAUAAGCACCGGCUAACUACGUGCCAGCAGCCGCGGUAAUACGUAGGGUGCAAGCGUUAAUCGGAAUUAUUGGGCGUAAAGCGAGUGCAGACGGUUACUUAAGCCAGAUGUGAAAUCCCCAAGCUUAACUUGGGACGUGCAUUUGGAACUGGGUGACUAGAGUGUGUCAGAGGGAGGUAGAAUUCCACAUGUAGCGGUGGAAUGCGUAGAGAUGUGGAGGAAUACCGAUGGCGAAGGCAGCCUCCUNGGGAUAACACUGACGUUGAGGCUCGAAAGCGUGGGGAG